GAUUAAGCAAAGAAGAGCGCAGGGUGGAUGCCUUGGCACUAAGAGCCGAAGAAAGACGUGAUAAGCUGCGAAAAGCUGCGGGGAGAUGCAAAUAAUCCUUGAUCCGCAGAUGUCUGAAUGGGGAAACCCGGUACGAAGAACUCGUAUCAUCCA
Molecule: ribosomal RNA, 153 nt
Filed under: Veillonella parvula
Lineage: Bacteria; Bacillati; Bacillota; Negativicutes; Veillonellales; Veillonellaceae
Also listed under: 1 other name
Description: partial 23S ribosomal RNA
Rfam family: Bacterial large subunit ribosomal RNA
Source: RNAcentral